Molecule: ribosomal RNA, 678 nt
Filed under: uncultured Neisseriales bacterium
Lineage: Bacteria; Pseudomonadati; Pseudomonadota; Betaproteobacteria; Neisseriales
Description: bacterial SSU rRNA
Rfam family: Bacterial small subunit ribosomal RNA
Source: RNAcentral
AGUCGAACGGCAGCGGGGAGGAGCUUGCUUCUCUGCCGGCGAGUGGCGAACGGGUGAGUAAUACAUCGGAACGUGUCGAGAAGAGGGGGAUAACCACCCGAAAGGGUGGCUAAUACCGCAUAAAUUCUGAGGAAGAAAGCUGGGGACCUAGGAAUAGGCCUAGCGCUUUUUGAGCGGCCGAUGUCGGAUUAGCUAGUUGGUGAGGUAAAGGCUCACCAAGGCGAAGAUCUGUAGCGGGUCUGAGAGGAUGAUCCGCCACACUGGGACUGAGACACGGCCCAGACUCCUACGGGAGGCAGCAGUGGGGAAUUUUGGACAAUGGGGGCAACCCUGAUCCAGCCAUGCCACGUGUAUGAAGAAGGCCUUAGGGUUGUAAAGUACUUUUGUUAGGGAAGAAAAGUCAGCUGUGAAUAAUGGCUGAUACUGACGGUACCUAAAGAAUAAGCACCGGCUAACUACGUGCCAGCAGCCGCGGUAAUACGUAGGGUGCGAGCGUUAAUCGGAAUUAUUGGGCGUAAAGCGAGUGUAGACGGUUAUUUAAGCCAGAUGUGAAAUACCCGAGCCUAACUUGGGAGGUGCAUAUGGAACUGGGUAGCUAGAGUGUGUCAGAGGGAGGUAGAACUCCACGUGUAGCAGUGAAAUGCGUAGAGAUGUGGAAGAAUACCGAUGGCGAAGGCA